AAAUAUGGAUGAAAUUUUUCUAUCUGCAGUUACUAUAGUAACGUUUCAACACACUUUCACUAAAAAUAAUGGAAGCAGUACUAGUAUUAAAUAGCAAAGGAGCUCUUCUUUCUUUGAUAGCCACUGAUUUUGAAGACAUCAAAUGGUUCGAAUUUUUCCAUACGCAGCUUUUACAAGGCAAUGCAUUAAUCACCAAUAAUAAAAUGACUCAAGAUUUAUACAAUGAAAUAUCAAGCAUACAAUUCACAAUACAAGGUUCAUUGCUACAGAACCAACACCAACAACCUUCUUUACAAGCUGUAAGCAUAAACAAUAAGCACUCUCAGAGAAUUCCAAGUUCCUUUGGAAAGUUUUCAUAGCCUGUUUUUG
Molecule: long non-coding RNA, 369 nt
Filed under: Solanum lycopersicum (tomato)
Lineage: Eukaryota; Viridiplantae; Streptophyta; Magnoliopsida; Solanales; Solanaceae
Description: long non-coding RNA (SLYC_LNC000273)
Source: RNAcentral